Molecule: ribosomal RNA, 189 nt
Filed under: uncultured Bifidobacterium sp.
Lineage: Bacteria; Bacillati; Actinomycetota; Actinomycetes; Bifidobacteriales; Bifidobacteriaceae
Description: partial 16S ribosomal RNA
Rfam family: Bacterial small subunit ribosomal RNA
Source: RNAcentral
GCGGCCGCUCUAGAACUAGUCCGAUCCCCCGGGCUGCAGCCCAAUGUGGAAUUCGCCCUUUACAGCCGCGCGCGGCGGGCGGGGCGGGGGCACGGGGGGCCUACGGGAGGCAGCAGUGGGGAAUAUUGCACAAUGGGCGCAAGCCUGAUGCAGCGACGCCGCGUGAGGGAUGGAGGCCUUCGGGUUGUA